This 834-nucleotide ribosomal RNA is filed under the name uncultured marine bacterium. RNAcentral's name for it is "bacterial SSU rRNA". It matches the Rfam family "Bacterial small subunit ribosomal RNA", at positions 481 to 1323 of the family's 1533-position model. The record is from RNAcentral.
GAGGAAUAAGCAUCGGCUAACUCCGUGCCAGCAGCCGCGGUAAUACGGGGGAUGCAAGCGUUAUCCGGAAUCAUUGGGCGUAAAGCGCCUGUAGGUUGUUUAAUAAGUCUGUUGUUAAAGACUAGGGCUUAACCCUAGAAAAGCAAUGGAAACUACUAGACUAGAGUAUGGCAGGGGUAGAGGGAAUUUCUAGUGUAGCGGUGAAAUGCGUAGAUAUUAGAAAGAACACCGGUGGCGAAAGCGCUCUACUGGACCAUUACUGACACUCAGAGGCGAAAGCUAGGGUAGCAAAAGGGAUUAGAUACCCCUGUAGUCCUAGCCGUAAACGAUGGAUACUACAUGUUGUGCAUUAUGUACAGUAUGGUAGCUAACGCGUUAAGUAUCCCGCCUGGGGAGUACGCUCGCCAGGGUGAAACUCAAAGGAAUUGACGGGGGCCCGCACAAGCGGUGGAGCAUGUGGUUUAAUUCGAUGCAACGCGAAGAACCUUACCAGGACUUGACAUACUACAAAUUCUUUUGAGAAAAAGAAGUGCCUUCGGGAAUGUAGAUACAGGUGGUGCAUGGCUGUCGUCAGCUCGUGUCGUGAGAUGUUGGGUUAAGUCCCGCAACGAGCGCAACCCUUAUUUUUAGUUACCAAUUCGUUGGGUUCUCUAGAAAGACUGCCGGUGACAGACCGGAGGAAGGUGAGGAUGACGUCAAGUCAGCAUGCCCCUUAUGUCCUGGGCUACACACGUGCUACAAUGGUUAAGACAAAGAGUCGCGAGCUCGUGAGAGUCAGCUAAUCUCAUAAACUUAGCCCAAGUUCAGAUUGUAGGCUGCAACUCGCCUACAUGA